Myotis daubentonii (Daubenton's bat) is the source of this 241-nucleotide long non-coding RNA. RefSeq lists it as uncharacterized. NCBI's taxonomy places the organism in Eukaryota, Metazoa, Chordata, Mammalia, Chiroptera, Vespertilionidae. The record is from RefSeq and is a predicted model, not a curated record.
CUUUUUAAAAUCCUGAUUUCUGGGCCUCAUCCUCCAGAAAUUCUGUUUCUUUGUUACUAAUUUUGAUCAGGUGCAUGUAAUUGAGUAGAUUGGAAACCCGCGAGAACAUUGUGAACAUCUUGACCACGCCCUUACUUUGCCUCGUGGGAUCUGGCUAUAAAAUAAAGACUCGGCUUGCAGGCUGCGGCGCUGUCUCUCCAUCCAAGAGCGGCAUCCCAUCUAGCUCCAGCUUUAUUCUCUU